UUAAGCAUAUCAAUAAGCGGAGGAAAAGAAACCAACAGGGAUUGCCCUAGUAACGGCGAGUGAAGCGGCAACAGCUCAAAUUUGAAAUCUGGCGUCUUCGGCGUCCGAGUUGUAAUUUGCAGAGGGCGCUUUGGCAUUGGCAGCGGUCCAAGUUCCUUGGAACAGGACGUCACAGAGGGUGAGAAUCCCGUACGUGGUCGCUAGCCUCUACCGUGUAAAGCCCCUUCGACGAGUCGAGUUGUUUGGGAAUGCAGCUCUAAAUGGGAGGUAAAUUUCUUCUAAAGCUAAAUACUGGCCAGAGACCGAUAGCGCACAAGUAGAGUGAUCGAAAGAUGAAAAGCACUUUGGAAAGAGAGUUAAAAAGCACGUGAAAUUGUUGAAAGGGAAGCGCUUGCAGCCAGACUUGCCUGUAGUUGCUCAUCCGGGUUUCUACCCGGUGCACUCUUCUACGGGCAGGCCAGCAUCAGUUUGGGCGGUUGGAUAAAGGUCUCUGUCAUGUACCUCCUUUCGGGGAGGCCUUAUAGGGGAGACGACAUGCAACCAGCCUGGACUGAGGUCCGCGCAUCUGCUAGGAUGCUGGCGUAAUGGCUGUAAGCGGCCCGUCUUGAAACACGGACCAAGGAGUCUAACAUCUAUGCGAGUGUUUGGGUGUCAAGCCCGAACGCGUAAUGAAAGUGAACGGAGGUGGGAACCUUUCGGGGUGCACCAUCGACCGAUCCUGAUGUCUUCGGAUGGAUUUGAGUAAGAGCAUAGCUGUUGGGACCCGAAAGAUGGUGAACUAUGCUUGAAUAGGGUGAAGCCAGAGGAAACUCUGGUGGAGGCUCGCAGCGGUUCUGACGUGCAAAUCGAUCGUCAAAUUUGGGCAUAGGGGCGAAAGAC
This 879-nucleotide ribosomal RNA is filed under the name Didymella hellebori. RNAcentral describes it as "LSU rRNA". It matches the Rfam family "Eukaryotic large subunit ribosomal RNA", at positions 34 to 931 of the family's 3401-position model. Lineage: Eukaryota; Fungi; Ascomycota; Dothideomycetes; Pleosporales; Didymellaceae. The record is from RNAcentral.